CCUACGGGAGGCAGCAGUGGGGAAUAUUGCACAAUGGGGGAAACCCUGAUGCAGCGACGCCGCGUGAGUGAAGAAGUAUUUCGGUAUGUAAAGCCCUAUCAGCAGGGAAGAAAAUGACGGUAACUGACUAAUAAGCCCCGGCUAACUACGUGCCAGCAGCCGCGGUAAUACGGAGGGGGCAAGCGUUACUCGGAUUUACUGGGUGUAAAGGGAGCGUAGACGGCCAGACAAGUCAGAAGUGAAAGCCCAUGGCUCAACCCUGGGACUGCGUUUGAAACUGUCGGGCUAGAGUGCAGGAGAGGUAAGCGGAAUUCCUAGUGUAGGGGUAAAAUGCGUAGAUAUUAGGAGGAACACCAGUGGCGAAGGCGACCUACUGGACUAUAACUGACGUUGAGGCGCGAAAGCGUGGGGAGCAAACAGGAUUAGAUACCCGGGUAGUC
RNAcentral lists this ribosomal RNA (440 nucleotides) under uncultured bacterium. RNAcentral's name for it is "partial 16S ribosomal RNA". It matches the Rfam family "Bacterial small subunit ribosomal RNA", at positions 338 to 795 of the family's 1533-position model. The record is from RNAcentral.